AAGAACAUAAUGAAGAGUAGAGUAUAUAUUAUUAACUUUAAAGAGAGUUCUCGGAUGGUGGGAGAGAAUAAGGUAGUAGAUAGAAAAUGAGCUUGGAAUGGUACUGGUAUGUGUAGAUAUCCAGUGACGAAGUUGUGCACGUUUUAGCACAAAGCUAAGAAUUGGAAUUUAGCUACUGAGGUGUUGUCUACGAGGAUAACACAAAAAAAGGUGGUAACACGGUAAGACUCGUCCUUAUU
This 239-nucleotide non-coding RNA is filed under the name Liquorilactobacillus cacaonum. Its description in RNAcentral is "Lactobacillus cacaonum T-box sequence". It matches the Rfam family "T-box leader". Rfam says of the family: Uncharged tRNA acts as the effector for transcription antitermination of genes in the T-box leader family. T-boxes are found upstream of many aminoacyl-tRNA synthetase genes and some amino acid biosynthetic genes usually in Gram-positive bacteria. The anticodon of a specific tRNA base pairs to a specifier sequence within the T-box motif, and the NCCA acceptor tail of the tRNA base pairs to a conserved bulge in the T-box antiterminator hairpin. The record is from RNAcentral. Lineage: Bacteria; Bacillati; Bacillota; Bacilli; Lactobacillales; Lactobacillaceae.